Molecule: ribosomal RNA, 340 nt
Filed under: uncultured Pseudomonadota bacterium
Lineage: Bacteria; Pseudomonadati; Pseudomonadota
Description: bacterial SSU rRNA
Rfam family: Bacterial small subunit ribosomal RNA
Source: RNAcentral
AACGAACGCUGGCGGCGUGCCUAACACAUGCAAGUCGAACGAGAAAGUCCCGUUCGCGGGAUGAGUAAAGUGGCGCACGGGUGAGUAACACGUGGAUAAUCUUCCUCUUGGUGAGGGAUAACAUUCCGAAAGGGAUGCUAAUACCUCAUAACACUCUAUAUUCUGCGGAAAGUAGAGUCAAAGAUGGCCUCUGACUCAAGCUGUCGCUAAGAGAUGAGUCCGCGCCCCAUUAGCUAGUUGGUAGGGUAAUGGCCUACCAAGGCGACGAUGGGUAGCUGGUCUGAGAGGAUGACCAGCCACACUGGAACUGAGACACGGUCCAGACUCCUACGGGUGGCUG